CGCCCAUCCUAAUAGCCGCUGG
RNAcentral lists this non-coding RNA (22 nucleotides) under Arabidopsis thaliana (thale cress). Lineage: Eukaryota; Viridiplantae; Streptophyta; Magnoliopsida; Brassicales; Brassicaceae. The record is from RNAcentral.